CAGUGGGGAUCUUGCACAAUGGAGGAACUCUGAUGCAGCGAUGCCGCGUGAGUGAAGAAGGCCUUUGGGUUGUAAAGCUCUUUCGUCGGGGAAGAAAAUGACUGUACCCGAAUAAGAAGGUCCGGCUAACUUCGUGCCAGCAGCCGCGGUAAUACGAAGGGACCUAGCGUAGUUCGGAAUUACUGGGCUUAAAGAGUUCGUAGGUGGUUGAAAAAGUUGGUGGUGAAAUCCCAGAGCUUAACUCUGGAACUGCCAUCAAAACUUUUCAGCUAGAGUAUGAUAGAGGAAAGCAGAAUUUCUAGUGUAGAGGUGAAAUUCGUAGAUAUUAGAAAGAAUACCAAUUGCGAAGGCAGCUUUCUGGAUCAUUACUGACACUGAGGAACGAAAGCAUGGGUAGCGAAGAGGAUUAGAUACCCUCGUAGUCCAUGCCGUAAACGAUGUGUGUUAGACGUUGGAAAUUUAUUUUCAGUGUCGCAGCGAAAGCGAUAAACACACCGCCUGGGGAGUACGACCGCAAGGUUAAAACUCAAAUGAAUUGACGGGGACCCGCACAAGUAGUGGAGCAUGUGGUUUAAUUCGAAGAUACGCGCAGAACCUUACCAACACUUGACAUGUUCGUCGCGACUUUAAGAGAUUAAAGUUUUCGGUUCGGCCGGACGAAACACAGGUGCUGCAUGGCUGUCGUCAGCUCGUGUCGUGAGAUGUUGGGUUAAGUCCCGCAACGAGCGCAACCCUCACUUUUAGUUGCCAUCAUUUAGUUGGGCACUCUGAAAGAACUGCCAGUGAUAAGCUGGAGGAAGGUGGGGAUGACGUCAAGUCCUCAUGGCCCUUACGUGUUGGGCUACACACGUGCUACAAUGGUAUCUACAACAGGAAGCAAAACCGCGAGGUUAAGCAAAUCCUUAAAAGAUACCUCAGUUCGGAUUGCACUCUGCAACUCGAGUGCAUGAAGCUGGAAUUA
RNAcentral lists this ribosomal RNA (961 nucleotides) under marine metagenome. Its description in RNAcentral is "bacterial SSU rRNA". It matches the Rfam family "Bacterial small subunit ribosomal RNA", at positions 352 to 1334 of the family's 1533-position model. The record is from RNAcentral.